Molecule: ribosomal RNA, 494 nt
Filed under: uncultured Streptococcus sp.
Lineage: Bacteria; Bacillati; Bacillota; Bacilli; Lactobacillales; Streptococcaceae
Description: bacterial SSU rRNA
Rfam family: Bacterial small subunit ribosomal RNA
Source: RNAcentral
AGAGUUUGAUCCUGGCUCAGGACGAACGCUGGCGGCGUGCCUAAUACAUGCAAGUAGAACGCUGAAGAGAGGAGCUUGCUCUCUUUGGAUGAGUUGCGAACGGGUGAGUAACGCGUAGGUAACCUGCCUGGUAGCGGGGGAUAACUAUUGGAAACGAUAGCUAAUACCGCAUAAUAGUAGAUGUUGCAUGACAUUUGCUUAAAAGGUGCAAUUGCAUCACUACCAGAUGGACCUGCGUUGUAUUAGCUAGUUGGUGGGGUAACGGCUCACCAAGGCGACGAUACAUAGCCGACCUGAGAGGGUGAUCGGCCACACUGGGACUGAGACACGGCCCAGACUCCUACGGGAGGCAGCAGUAGGGAAUCUUCGGCAAUGGACGGAAGUCUGACCGAGCAACGCCGCGUGAGUGAAGAAGGUUUUCGGAUCGUAAAGCUCUGUUGUAAGAGAAGAACGAGUGUGAGAGUGGAAAGUUCACACUGUGACGGUAUCUUACC